Molecule: ribosomal RNA, 500 nt
Filed under: uncultured bacterium
Lineage: Bacteria
Description: partial 16S ribosomal RNA
Rfam family: Bacterial small subunit ribosomal RNA
Source: RNAcentral
UGGGGAAUAUUGCACAAUGGGCGCAAGCCUGAUGCAGCAACGCCGCGUGAGGGAUGACGGCCUUCGGGUUGUAAACCUCUUUUAGCAGGGAAGAAGCGAAAGUGACGGUACCUGCAGAAAAACGCACCGGCUAACUACGUGCCAGCAGCCGCGGUAAUACGUAGGGUGCAAGCGUUGUCCGGAAUUAUUGGGCGUAAAGAGCUCGUAGGCGGUCUGUCGCGUCUGCUGUGAAAUCCCCGAGGCUCAACCUCGGGCCUGCAGUGGGUACGGGCAGACUAGAGUGCGGUAGGGGAGAAUGGAACUCCUGGUGUAGCGGUGGAAUGCGCAGAUAUCAGGAAGAACACCGAUGGCGAAGGCAGUUCUCUGGGCCCGUAACUGACGCUGAGGAGCGAAAGCGUGGGGAGCGAACAGGAUUAGAUACCCUGGUAGUCCACGCCGUAAACGUUGGGCGCUAGAUGUGGGGCACCAUUCCACGGUUUCCGUGUCGCAGCUAACGCAUU